Molecule: ribosomal RNA, 460 nt
Filed under: uncultured bacterium
Lineage: Bacteria
Description: partial 16S ribosomal RNA
Rfam family: Bacterial small subunit ribosomal RNA
Source: RNAcentral
CCUACGGGAGGCAGCAGUGAGGAAUAUUGGUCAAUGGACGAGAGUCUGAACCAGCCAAGUAGCGUGAAGGAUGACUGCCCUAUGGGUUGUAAACUUCUUUUAUAAAGGAAUAAAAUGAGGCACGUGUGCCUUUUUGCAUGUACUUUAUGAAUAAGGAUCGGCUAACUCCGUGCCAGCAGCCGCGGUAAUACGGAGGAUGCGAGCGUUAUCCGGAUUUAUUGGGUUUAAAGGGAGCGUAGAUGGGUUGUUAAGUCAGUUGUGAAAGUUUGCGGCUCAACCGUAAGAUUGCAAUUGAUACUGGCGGUCUUGAGUACAGGAGAGGUAGGCGGAAUGCGUGGUGUAGCGGUGAAAUGCUUAGAUAUUACGAAGAACCCCGAUUGCGAAGGCAGCUUACUAGACUGUAACUGACGUUGAGGCUCGAAAGUGUGGGUAUCAAACAGGAUUAGAUACCCGAGUAGUC